AACAGAAGAGUCGACCUGCACCAUCAGAAGAACCUCUUGCUGAUCAGGAGCAGGUGACACCUGGUGAUGACGAGAAGGCAAAGAGAGAUGCAGGAAAAUGGUGGAAGCCCUGGGUCUCUCAGCCUGGAGUGGAAAACAAUUGUGGCUACCACCUGUUUGAGAGUGACAGUGAGGAGGAGGAAGAGGAAGUUCCUGAGAAGACAGAGGAAGAGCAACUA
This is a long non-coding RNA of Pundamilia nyererei, 218 nucleotides long. RefSeq lists it as uncharacterized. The record is from RefSeq and is a predicted model, not a curated record. The transcript has 3 exons. Lineage: Eukaryota; Metazoa; Chordata; Actinopteri; Cichliformes; Cichlidae.